Non-coding RNA from Rattus norvegicus (Norway rat), 2003 nucleotides. Lineage: Eukaryota; Metazoa; Chordata; Mammalia; Rodentia; Muridae. The record is from RefSeq and is a predicted model, not a curated record.
AUGAAGGGGAGGCUGAGAUUGAAGCAGUCUCAUGAGAAAGGCCAAACCCAUAUUAUUUGAUAACAUCAAAGGGAGGGGCCGGCGUGACCAAGAAUGAGCACAGCACCGAGCCAUACAGCCUGACAGUCCUGCCUGUCAGUUCUCACCAGGCAAGGUCCUUAGACCCUGCGACCUUUGAGACGGGACAUGGGAACUGCCAUUCAUGGGAGUGCCAAGGAGAACAAGAGGACUGGAAAACAGUUUUAAGUGACACACCCACAUUCUGACAUUGGGACAGGGUGACAUUCUGUGCCUGUUCAUGUCCUAUAUCAGCAACACACAAUGGCCGGGAAGGCAGGAUGUGCGGUGCUAACUCAAUGCCAGACUCGAGGCUCCAUGAAAUUCUCCUAAGGAUCAUUCACUUUCUCUGAGGCACUUCUCAGCAGCUUCACGCAAAACCCACUGACUUUAAGACUAGACAGAAAGCUACGGAGCAACCAAGCGCACCACUCGGCCCCGGUGUUUUCAUUUUGGAUGUCUACUUGCAAACUUGAAGGUGGAUAUAAAAAGAUGCUUUUAACUCUUUUAAAUGUUUAAUCCAAACUGCUCUGAAGACUCUCCCUGGCUCAAACUCACACUGCCUAUUCCAGUUGGAGUAAACUGAAUUAAUAAAUACUGAAUAUUGCCUUUUAUAGCUUAUCACGAAAUAAUUUUCUUCUCAAAUCCAUGCCUUAAAAGUUUCUGUUUAUCUUAGUGUAUUUUUUCUAUUCUUUUUUUUUUUAAUUUAUUCAUUUAUUUUAGAACGGGAUUGCGACUUCUUCAUACACGUGCGGGCAAGUGCACUGCCAUGAAGCUCUAUUUUCAGUCUCUCUUAGUAUAUUUUGAGAAUGCAAUACUUCCUUUCUUUCUCCUCUUCUCCCUCCCUUCCCUUCUGCAGAAUGACCCUAGGAUCCUGCACGGAAGGCAAGCAUUCCACAACUAAGCCUAGUUCACCAGCCUGGGAAUAAAAUGUGUUCUAGAGAAAUGUUUAAAAUAAUAGAGGUUUGGGGAAUAAGAGUGUUCAAAGGUCACACGGUCCCUCUGUCGUGGCACUGUAGUGACAUUUUUAUGCAUGCAGGAAUGCUGUCGCUCAGGACUCCUGAGAAGGCCAACCACAGCAUAUACCACAUCACAUCUUCUUGGGUCUCCCUUGGCCAGUGUAUAAGGAAAAGAUCAAGCCUGUGCAGAGCUGGAGGGACACCAAGCACAGGACUGUGCUGUGCUUGUCAACCUGUGCUUGAUGGACAGAUGUGGAGGCAAUACCUUUGUUCUGUGCACACCACAGGAGAGGCUCCGUUAUAAUUCAAUUCAGAAAGAGACUUAACUGUGCUAAUUGGCGUUUGAAAGAUACCUGGCUCAGGCUGGAAGACUUGGUGUGUCAGGGGGGUACCCAGAAGCCACGGGGACUCAUCUUACACAGGCAGGCCUGGAGCACACAAUGCCCGGAUACUGCCAAGGGCAUAGCAGCUGGUGUAAUCAAUGACAGGUCAGCAACCGGAUGUCAAUUAGGGGGAGGAAAGGAGCACAAACUGGGGUCUCUGAGCCAGCCCUGGCAUGCAGAGAAUGUUGCCGGGGGGCCUUGGGUAGACACAGCAGGUAGGCAGUCGUCCCCUAAAAUCCCAGCCGGAGCCAACCAACAAAACAACCGGAAGAACUUAGCCUGGCUGUAACAGGCACUGCACAGGACGCUGGAGCAACAGGAAGGCUGUCAGCCACCCAGCCUGGAAAUAGCAGGAGUGCGGCUCAGGCUGCCGCCUUCCCCCACAGCGGCGAUUCCCGAACUCUGCGACUGUUAGUUGUUGUUUUGGACAGCUGAUACCGGUCAUGCACCGACGUGUUUUCAAAGCUCAGUUCUGGUCUGAGGCCGUUGUCAGUUUGAUUCACUUUUCCAAGAAACCAAACAAGAUCCCGGCUGUGGAACAUGGGAUAUUCGAAGGUUCUAUUCUUGGCAUUCAGAAAAAUAAACAGCAUUUGGCUUUGGGACG